CAGAAUAGGAACACCGCGUAAAGUGUCAGUGGAUGGGAAGUUGCCGCUGAACGAAAAUUGUAUCGUCGAUUGCGAUGGUUGUUCCGCUUCCGCUGU
This 96-nucleotide non-coding RNA is filed under the name uncultured Lawsonibacter sp. Its description in RNAcentral is "THF riboswitch". It matches the Rfam family "THF (Tetrahydrofolate) riboswitch aptamer". Rfam says of the family: THF riboswitch presents a pseudoknot that joins P1-P2 and the loop of P3 and two THF binding. Lineage: Bacteria; Bacillati; Bacillota; Clostridia; Eubacteriales; Oscillospiraceae. The record is from RNAcentral.